UACAGAGGGUGCAAGCGUUAAUCGGAAUUACUGGGCGUAAAGCGCACGUAGGCGGCUUGGUAUGUCGGGUGUGAAAUCCCCGGGCUCAACCUGGGAACUGCAUCCGAAACUGCCUUGCUGGAGUAUGGGAGAGGGAAGCGGAAUUUCCGGUGUAGCGGUGAAAUGCGUAGAUAUCGGAAGGAACAUCAGUGGCGAAGGCGGCUUCCUGGACCAAUACUGACGCUCAGGUGCGAAAGCGUGGGAAGCAAACAGG
This 253-nucleotide ribosomal RNA is filed under the name uncultured bacterium. RNAcentral describes it as "partial 16S ribosomal RNA". It matches the Rfam family "Bacterial small subunit ribosomal RNA", at positions 524 to 776 of the family's 1533-position model. The record is from RNAcentral.